This 857-nucleotide ribosomal RNA is filed under the name uncultured Bacillota bacterium. RNAcentral describes it as "bacterial SSU rRNA". It matches the Rfam family "Bacterial small subunit ribosomal RNA", at positions 53 to 893 of the family's 1533-position model. The record is from RNAcentral. Lineage: Bacteria; Bacillati; Bacillota.
CCAUGCAAGUCGAACGGAGUGUUGCGCUGAAAUUGAUAUUAGCUUGCUAAAGGAUAUUUCUUGUGGCGCUUAGUGGCCGACGGGUGAGUAACGCGUGAGGAACCUGCCUUACAGAGGGGGACAACAGUUGGAAACGACUGCUAAUACCGCAUGAUGUGGAGGAGAGACAUCUCCCUUUCACCAAAGGAGCAAUCCGCUGUAAGAUGGCCUCGCGUCUGAUUAGAUAGUUGGUGGGGUAACGGCCUACCAAGUCGACGAUCACUAGCCGGACUGAGAGGUUGAACGGCCACAUUGGGACUGAGACACGGCCCACACUCCUACGGGAGGCAGCAGUGGGGGAUAUUGCACAAUGGAGGAAACUCUGAUGCAGCAACGCCGCGUGAGGGAAGAAGGUUUUCGGAUUGUAAACCUCUGUUUUUAGUGAAGAAACAAAUGACGGUAGCUAAAGAGGAAGCCACGGCUAACUACGUGCCAGCAGCCGCGGUAAUACGUAGGUGGCAAGCGUUGUCCGGAAUUACUGGGUGUAAAGGGUGCGCAGGCGGGAUUGCAAGUUGGAUGUGAAAUACCGGGGCUUAACCCCGGAGCUGCAUCCAAAACUGUAGUUCUUGAGUGGAGUAGAGGUAAGCGGAAUUCCGAGUGUAGCGGUGAAAUGCGUAGAUAUUCGGAGGAACACCAGUGGCGAAGGCGGCUUACUGGGCUCUAACUGACGCUGAGGCACGAAAGCAUGGGUAGCAAACAGGAUUAGAUACCCUGGUAGUCCAUGCUGUAAACGAUGAAUGCUAGGUGUGGGGGGACUGACCCCUUCCGUGCCGGAGUAAACACAAUAAGCAUUCCACCUGGGGAGUACGACCGCAAGG